GUGGGGAAUAUUGGGCAAUGGGCGAAAGCCUGACCCAGCAACGCCACGUGAGGGAAGAAGGCCUUCGGGUUGUAAACCUCUGUCCUUGGUGACGAAAAAAAUGACGGUAGCCAAGGAGGAAGCCCCGGCUAACUACGUGCCAGCAGCCGCGGUAAUACGUAGGGGGCGAGCGUUGUCCGGAAUUACUGGGCGUAAAGGGUGCGUAGGGGGCCUUUUAAGUUGGAUGUGAAAUACCCGGGCUUAACUUGGGGGGUGCAUCUAAUACUGGAGGGCUAGAGUGCAGGAGAGGGAAGCGGAAUUCCUAGUGUAGCGGUGAAAUGCGUAGAUAUUAGGAGGAACACCAGUGGCGAAGGCGGCUUUCUGGACUGUAACUGACACUGAGGCACGAAAGCGUGGGGAGCAAACAGGAUUAGAUACCCGAGUAGUCC
RNAcentral lists this ribosomal RNA (428 nucleotides) under uncultured bacterium. RNAcentral describes it as "partial 16S ribosomal RNA". It matches the Rfam family "Bacterial small subunit ribosomal RNA", at positions 354 to 796 of the family's 1533-position model. The record is from RNAcentral.